CUCUUAUUUUUGUAACAAUUUUACUUAAAGUAAUAACAAUUAUAAUAUUAAGAUGAAAUAUUUACAACACUAAUCAUUAAAUGAUAACAAAAUGUACAUAAUAACAACUAAUAUCUUUGUUCUGAAAUUUCCAUUUCUAUACACAACUUUUUUAGCACCUUGCAGAGUUCCUUAAGGUGGUAGACCUUGGUUCAGGGAGAUAACUCUUUAAAUCAGUUAUGUGUUUGUUAAAGUCAAGUUUCAUCAAUGUUUUUUAAGCAUUUACCUGAAACAGAUUGGAAAUAAUCUAUGUAACCUAGAAGCUUAGAAUAUAUUUAUGAAAAUGGUUGACACAAACGUACUGAUGAUUUGAAGAGUUAUUUCCCUUAACCUAGGUCUACCUCCUUAAGGAGUCAUAUUUUAAAUAAAAUUAAACACCUUAAUCAUAUGCAAUGAACAAUGGCAAUUCCAUGAUUUCAAACAUUACAAAUUUCAUUGCAAACUGGGUUUUUU
Molecule: long non-coding RNA, 492 nt
Filed under: Mytilus galloprovincialis (Mediterranean mussel)
Lineage: Eukaryota; Metazoa; Mollusca; Bivalvia; Mytilida; Mytilidae
Source: RNAcentral